Molecule: long non-coding RNA, 1017 nt
Organism: Podarcis raffonei (Aeolian wall lizard)
Lineage: Eukaryota; Metazoa; Chordata; Lepidosauria; Squamata; Lacertidae
Exons: 4
Source: RefSeq, a predicted model, not a curated record
UGAUCUAAUCCGGUAUUUAAAAGGUGCAUUACUUUCACCCUGCCCAGUUAAACAAACUUGAGUGUUGCAAUAGCUUCAUCUCUAUGUUGCAAGAGCGCACCACUUAAAAUCCUAGAACAAGAAAUGUUUGUUGUUGGUUACGGCUUGUGGCUGUGCUCAACCUUUUUACUUUCCUAUAAUACCUGAAAAUCUGCCCCCUUUCGGCCCGAUCUUUGAGUGCUGCAUGGAAGAUGGUAUGUAAUCAUCCAUGAAUGAAUCCCAAGAGACAAUUUGGCAAGCUGUUAUUAACAAUUAAAUGGAUAAACACUGCUCCUUUUUAAAGGAAACAUAGUAUGUAAACACAGAAGAAACAGUUCUGGCCUGAAGGGAUUGUCUAGAACCUAUGGACAGACAGGAGUAGAGUGCCAAGGAAGUUAGGAAACAGAGUGUGUGGGUGUGUCAUUCCCAGGGAACCAAGGUCUAGGAAAAAUGAACCUGAGCUGGUUAAACAUUCAUUCUAAGCCAGUAGAGUUUAGUGUGAGGCUUCUGUUUCAAUGAAGAAGCCAACACUGCAUUUCCCCCAUCAAGCAAUUCUCUUGUUCCUUUCCAGAAGGAUAGUAAUUUCAGAAACAGAAGGAUGGAGGACCCAGAUACCUGAACAGCAGAAUCCAGAAAUCUGAAGCAAUUGGACACUAUUUAAUUUCACCAAGGUCAACCAACUGGAAAAGCCAAUGUAAAAUACCAAAUCCGUGUGCCAGAAAAGCAUCCUAUCAAAGAACUCCACAAUCUGCCUUAUUGCACCAUAUUUCUGUUAAAGAGAAGACAUCCCUUGCCCCCUGAAAACAGAAGGAUCCUUAAAGUUAAUCUAGAACUUUGUCCAGGUAUCGGCAGGAGGUCUCUGCACAAGAGCAACGAUCCAGGAGAAGGAAGUGGCGCUUGCUUCUCUUGUUUGCCUUUUAAGAACCCGGGGCUUCCCAAGCUCAUCCCCGUCCCCACCUCAGCAACACUCCUCCCGCCGGUCGGUUACCUUUCUGAGCA